RNAcentral lists this ribosomal RNA (460 nucleotides) under uncultured bacterium. Its description in RNAcentral is "partial 16S ribosomal RNA". It matches the Rfam family "Bacterial small subunit ribosomal RNA", at positions 338 to 795 of the family's 1533-position model. The record is from RNAcentral.
CCUACGGGUGGCAGCAGUGAGGAAUAUUGGUCAAUGGGCGCGAGCCUGAACCAGCCAAGUAGCGUGAAGGAUGACUGCCCUACGGGUUGUAAACUUCUUUUAUAAAGGAAUAAAGUGAGGCACGUGUGCCUUUUUGUAUGUACUUUAUGAAUAAGGAUCGGCUAACUCCGUGCCAGCAGCCGCGGUAAUACGGAGGAUCCGAGCGUUAUCCGGAUUUAUUGGGUUUAAAGGGAGCGUAGAUGGGUUGUUAAGUCAGUUGUGAAAGUUUGCGGCUCAACCGUAAAAUUGCAAUUGAUACUGGCAGUCUUGAGUACAGUUGAGGUAGGCGGAAUUCGUGGUGUAGCGGUGAAAUGCUUAGAUAUCACGAAGAACUCCGAUUGCGAAGGCAGCUUACUGGGUCGAUACUGACAUUGAGGCACGAAAGCGUGGGGAGCAAACAGGAUUAGAUACCCCAGUAGUC